GUUUUAGGACCCAAACAUACACUAAAUCAUUAAUAAUCCAUUAACUAAGAUCCAUAAAUUUAAGCAUAACCAAACUUUCUUACUCUUGUAGGGGAAAUUAGGUUUGGAUUUAGUCCGAGGAGUGAGCAAAAAUGUAAACAAAACCAACUUAGGUUGUUUCAUGCUUGGAGAUAACAUGGGUGCAGUAUACCGCAAUAUUUUCAUGUUUUUCGAGUGAUUAUAAACAUUAAUGAAUGAUAUUCCAAACAACGAGAAAAUCAAUACCAAACAAGGGCCUGACGAAAAACUUUAAAAAGCGAAAUAAAGUAGGAUCCUUUUCCAAAUAAUUGGAACCGCACAUUUUAAUUGUACGUUUUUUAAAAAAAUUAUUUAUAUCUCCGUUAUAGUUUCGUCCUUACCAAAAUACCAAAUAGUUUUCGUUAUUAAGCUUCUGUCUUAUUUUUCGUUGUCAACAACCGAAAAUAUGACAUUUUCUAAUGUUGAACAAUUGAAAAUAGGAUUGCAUAUUACAAAAGCUUGUUAGAAUAUGCGGUCCUAUUUUCGGUUGUUCAACAACCGAAAAUAAAACAUUUUAAGUUAUUAAACAACCGAAAACAAAACAUUUUCGGACGUUGAACCAUUGUAUAUUCCAACAAGUUUAUGGAAUACGCAUUUCUAUUUAAAAAAAUAAGUCAUUUUCGGUAGUUCAACAACUAAAAACAAGACAUUU
RNAcentral lists this long non-coding RNA (709 nucleotides) under Amborella trichopoda. RNAcentral's name for it is "long non-coding RNA (ATRI_LNC001993)". The record is from RNAcentral. Lineage: Eukaryota; Viridiplantae; Streptophyta; Magnoliopsida; Amborellales; Amborellaceae.